GACGAACGCUGGCGGCGUGCUUAACACAUGCAAGUCGAACGGAAAGGCCCUGCUUUUGUGGGGUGCUCGAGUGGCGAACGGGUGAGUAACACGUGAGUAACCUGCCCUUGACUUUGGGAUAACUUCAGGAAACUGGGGCUAAUACCGGAUAGGAGCUCCUGCUGCAUGGUGGGGGUUGGAAAGUUUCGGCGGUUGGGGAUGGACUCGCGGCUUAUGAGCUUGUUGGUGGGGUAGUGGCUUACCAAGGCUUUGACGGGUAGCCGGCCUGAGAGGGUGACCGGCCACAUUGGGACUGAGAUACGGCCCAGACGCCUACGGGAGGCAGCAGUGGGGAAUAUUGCACAAUGGGCGGAAGCCUGAUGCAGCAACGCCGCGUGCGGGAUGACGGCCUUCGGGUUGUAAACCGCUUUCGCCUGUGACGAAGCGUGAGUGACGGUAAUGGGUAAAGAAGCACCGGCUAACUACGUG
This 468-nucleotide ribosomal RNA is filed under the name uncultured bacterium. RNAcentral describes it as "partial 16S ribosomal RNA". It matches the Rfam family "Bacterial small subunit ribosomal RNA", at positions 28 to 507 of the family's 1533-position model. The record is from RNAcentral.